RNAcentral lists this ribosomal RNA (2817 nucleotides) under Triticum aestivum (bread wheat). Its description in RNAcentral is "partial small subunit ribosomal RNA". Lineage: Eukaryota; Viridiplantae; Streptophyta; Magnoliopsida; Poales; Poaceae. The record is from RNAcentral.
GGCCACGCCGGCGGAAAGGGCAGCAGAGGUGCUUGUCUGCCGUAGUCUUGGAAUUGUCAAGGAUGGAGAAGAUGUCACGAAGGCAAUCCUCGAUGUCUUCACGUGGCGGUUCAAGGAGAACCUUCCAGUGGACGUGAUACUAGCCAUGCGAUAUUUUUUCAAGGUUGAUGACGGACAGGCGGCUGAGGUCGGGGAGGCUCUCAUUGCUCUGGGGGAGCUGCACCGCUGGACCUGGAUACGGCUGCUGGAGGUGCUGCAUCACAGCCGGCGGCCACCUGAUGUGGUGUUGCUGUCAUGGGGUUACCAAGGUUCCCAUGUUAGUUCAACAUUUUGUACCAGGGGGUGUUUGCAGCUCGGGUUGCUAUGCUGGAAUCGUAGUUUGAUUCUGUGUAAUUGCUUGAUGGUGUGUCUCAAGCUUGGUCUGGUUGUGAGCGAAUAUGUCUAUGCCUAACCAGUUGCACGCGCAACUCCAAUCGUCGCCGUCGCUGCGUUAUGUGGAUCCGUGCGCGCGUGCCCCACCUGGUCCCUCCUAACAACCCAUAUUUGCAUUUUCUCAGCGCGAUACGCGGCAGGAAUACAGUCACAUCGUAUCACCCUCGUUCUCUCGUUCCCCACCGCCCCUGUUCCUUCUCUUCUCGUUCCCCAUCUCCAUCUCCAUCGAAUCCAGCGCACCGCCGGCUCCCUCCUCCACCACCAUGGCCACUCACCGCCGGGUCGCUCCUCCAUGGCCUCGAGCCCUCUCCCCUGUGACGUUCUUCUUCACCCAUAGGCGAUUGUUCUCCACCCACGCCCCGCUGCCUCUAUCGUCAGAUCCGCCAUCGAGGUAAGAUGGAACAGCAUGCCAGCAUGACUACCUCAUCGCCAUCGAGCCUCCUGGUGAGAGGAUGCCGAGCAUCGACGAACAACGAGCAGCAGCAUCACCACCACUGUGAGCAGAUCGGUGAUGGAGAUCUACGCAUUAAGGCAGUGAGGAGUCAAGCGGCUCGGCGGCAAAGCCCAGACACACACCUUCCACAAGCACGCCAGUGGUCAAGAGCUCCAACUCAUCUUUGCCGUCUUCCUCGGAGGUAUCAGCGAUCCAUCUACUUGUUUUUUUUAAACAAGAUUUUUGUUCUUUUCUCAAUCUUUCGAUAUGCAUCUGAUUUCGUGUGUGAUAGUGGUUUUUAUGUGAUGGAUUUUUCACCCAGCACACUUAGGCCUUGUUCGGUUGCACAGGGUUUGAGGGGGAUUAAAGGGGAUUGUGAGGGAUUACAUCCCCUGUAAGUCAAAUUCCUUCCCAAUCCCCUUCAAACCUCUCCAAUCCCCUUGGGGAAGGGAUUAAACGAACAAGCCCUUAGGAAGAUGGAUUGAUCUUAUUUUGUUUCCUCUCCUGCAGCUUUCGGCAAAUGACUGCUCUUGUUUUGCCCCUCUCCAUAAACAGGAAAACGGAUUGAUGUUAAUGUACUUUUGCAAUUCAUAGUUUGCUGGAAGAAACAAGGACCUUUUUGAUGGCUAUCUCUGGAUUCUUUGGCUACUGUAAUUAUUAUGGCCUCAGUUUUGUACAUGAAACAUACUGAUUUGGUGAAGAACUAUUUGGGGAUAUUUUCUGAAGAAUGAUCUAACAAUAAUUUGGAAUGAUUUCUAAAGAACUUCAUAAAAAAUUCUAAAGAACUUUCUAAGAAACGAAGAACUUUCUAACAGGACUUUGUUAACAUGGUGUCCGAACUUUGCCAUAAAAAUCAGAAGAACUUUUGAGAAAACUUCGCCAUUACUAAUUGUUUCCUUGGAUUUUGUAAAGUUCUUUGGAAUUUCCAGUAGAGUUCGCCACAGCCAUCUAAAAAUUCCUUUGAUAUAAUCCAGUAAUUCAUUUCAUUAGUUUUUUCUGAGAAUAAUUUCGUUAUUUUAAGUAAAUAAUAAACCACAUAUUUAAUCAUUGACUAAACAUGGUGCAUUAGCCACCCAGGCCCUUGUGUCUCUCGCAUGGACGAACAGCUUGGUCCCGCGUGAGGUCAAAUCAGCUGGAAUACGGCUGACUAUACAAACGGGCGAAAUCUCUAGCAUGAUGGAAUACCAUGCAUGACUGACAUAGACGUGGGCCAUGUUGAUUUGACAACAGGCUGGAUGUGCGGACGUGCGAUGCGGAUACAGGUUGUGCGCGCAUAGUGUUAGGAUAAAUCCACGUUGGGUUGUAAGCGCUGUGUUAGCUGUUGUCUUAGGCAAAGUGCCAUGUAUCAGGGUGAACCAUGUCUCGUUAGUUGUUGUCUUUGGCAGAGUGCCAUGUAUCAGGGUGAGCCAUGUUUCAUUAUGUUAGAACAACUUAUCUGAGGGUGUCCUGAACUAAGGGGUAUCAACCUGUACAGCCUGUCGUCUAUGGGCCGGGACGAUGAUCCACCAACCAUCGGAGGAAGGAUUGCCGACGUUGUGGCCCUCGGCGUAAGAAGGACGGAAACUUCGGAAGACUAAGCGUGUACUUCAAGGAGAGCUCAAUAUUCAACAUGGUUUUUCCUAGUUGGUAACCGACCUUACGUGUAACCUAGUUACCUCUGGUGUGUAUAUAACUCGAGGGGUUUAGUCCGUAGGAGGGCAAUCGCAAGAAUUAGGCUUUAGAACUCAAUCAUAUGAUCUCAAGGUAGAUCAUUCUGUAUUAUGUACUCCAUCACAUCAAUACUAUCAAAGCAGGACGUAGGGUUUUACUUCCUCGAGACAGUCCGAACCUGGGUAACCAUCGUCUCCUUUGUCUCAUGUUACCAUUGCUCCUAUACCCACUGCUCGGGGGCUCCCUACCUUAGAUCCGUCGGUUUUAGUACGGACACUAUAAACGUAGUUAGUUGGUGUUGG